UUCCUACGGGGGGCAGCAGUGGGGAAUAUUGGACAAUGGGGGCAACCCUGAUCCAGCAAUGCCGCGUGUGUGAAGAAGGUCUUCGGAUCGUAAAGCACUUUCGACGGGGACGAUGAUGACGGUACCCGUAGAAGAAGCCCCGGCUAACUUCGUGCCAGCAGCCGCGGUAAUACGAAGGGGGCUAGCGUUGCUCGGAAUUACUGGGCGUAAAGGGCGCGUAGGCGGCUCUGUUAGUCAGGCGUGAAAUUCCUGGGCUUAACCUGGGGACUGCGCUUGAUACUGCGGAGCUUGAGGCCGAGAGAGGGUGGUGGAAUUCCCAGUGUAGAGGUGAAAUUCGUAGAUAUUGGGAAGAACACCGGUGGCGAAGGCGACCACCUGGCUCGGUACUGACGCUGAGGCGCGACAGCGUGGGGAGCAAACAGGAUUAGAUACCCUAGUAGUC
This 442-nucleotide ribosomal RNA is filed under the name uncultured Acetobacteraceae bacterium. RNAcentral describes it as "bacterial SSU rRNA". It matches the Rfam family "Bacterial small subunit ribosomal RNA", at positions 336 to 795 of the family's 1533-position model. Lineage: Bacteria; Pseudomonadati; Pseudomonadota; Alphaproteobacteria; Acetobacterales; Acetobacteraceae. The record is from RNAcentral.